CCUACGGGAGGCAGCAGUGGGGAAUAUUGGUCACUGGGCGCAAGCCUGACCCAGCAACGCCGCGUGAAGGAAGACGGCUUUCGGGUUGUAACCUUCUUUUCAGGGGGCAGCGCAGAAGACGGUACCCCUUGAAUAAGCCACGGCUAACUACGUGCCAGCAGCCGCGGUAAUACGUAGGUGGCAAGCGUUGUCCGGAUUUACUGGGUGUAAAGGGCGUGCAGCCGGAGAGACAAGUCAGAUGUGAAAUCCACGGGCUCAACCCGUGAACUGCAUUUGAAACUGUUUCCCUUGAGUGUCGGAGAGGUAAUCGGAAUUCCUGGUGUAGCGGUGAAAUGCGUAGAUAUAAGGAAGAACACCAGUGGCGAAGGCGGAUUACUGGACGAUAACUGACGGUGAGGCGCGAAAGCGUGGGGAGCAAACAGGAUGAGAUACCCGAGUAGUC
Molecule: ribosomal RNA, 442 nt
Filed under: uncultured bacterium
Lineage: Bacteria
Description: partial 16S ribosomal RNA
Rfam family: Bacterial small subunit ribosomal RNA
Source: RNAcentral